UAGAUUUAGCAUAUGCAUUCAUAAAGGACAACUACCGAGCGGUCCAUUAAAUAGGGAUUUCAUAAUCUGAAACAUCAGUUACUGCAUCAGUCAGUACAUACCAGGAAAAAACAUAAGAACAAUACACUUCCUACCAAAACAUAUGUAUCCUCUAAAAUCAGAAUUGACAUAGACAAACAAAGGAAUUGUUGACGAACAACACUUGGACGAAGCAAAUCAUUCUAAGCCUACAAUUGAUAAGAUGGCUGAGAACACAUAUGCCUGCCACGCAACUCUGUACCGGCCAGCCGCUGAGUGAUGUAUGUAAAUAGGGAUCUCACAAUCUGCAACGAUAGUUAGGAAAGAUUUCAUAAAGAAGAGCAAGGAUAUUACUAAUGGCAGGGGGCAAGCAUUAUUGGCUUCUUGGCAGUCGCUUAAUAUGUCAAUCUUUUGAUCGUCAUCUUCAACCUCCUUACAUUAGGGACAUUUUCUCCUUUAAAUCACUUGAAUGGUCUUCAAAUAGCAUUGCCCACGAAGAUAUGCAUCACUACCGCAAGCCACGCCGAUGAAUACACCACAAGGAGCAGCACCACAUCCUCGUCCGUCUCUGCGGUGUCGCGGUUGCGCCUAUCCUGCGAAGCGCCGAGGAGUGACGGCGACCUAGGUUAGGAUCGGCAGCGGCAAGAGCACCAUGACAGUAAGAGAAAUAGGGAAGGACAGGUGCACGAAAGAGGCGGGUCAAAGCAGCGAGGACGUACCUUGAGGACGGAGCUACCCGACCUCCUCCUCCUUGAUGACGAGGAAGCACCAAGGGCAGCUUGAUGCUUGCCAGUGGCCUCCCUGAUGAAUUGGAGCCGAGCACUACGGGGGCAAAGGUGCAGCGCCUCAUGCUUCUCCCGCUGAGCACCGACGAGAGGGAGGCCAGCUUGGGAGCGAAAGAUCCAGAAGUUGAAUACAUAUAAGCAAUCAACCAAGAAAUGCGAUGCUAUAUGUGAAUAAUAUACAAACAAGGAGAUGCUAUAUAAAUGACAUGUGCGGUGCUGGGUCAGAUUGUUGUGCCUAAGCAUGUGUGCCAGCCAGGCAAACUUAGCAUGUUUACUGGCCGAUGAUAAAGCAGAAGUAUUUAUCCUGAUUAAAAACAAUAGUAGUUGAGCUGCAUCCAUUCAAGCCUUGCAUAGUUUAGAUCCAUUACAACGUGUUUGUAGCGUUUUCCAUGUACCUGAUGGCUGCCACAGCUGCAGAAUCUUCAGCCACUUCCUCAAUGGCAGAGCGAACACCGGUAAUUGUCAUCUGCAGUGAAUUGAUUCCAUUAAUCUGCGCAGAGGUGUAGAAGAGC
RNAcentral lists this long non-coding RNA (1315 nucleotides) under Triticum aestivum (bread wheat). RNAcentral's name for it is "long non-coding RNA (TAES_LNC028378)". Lineage: Eukaryota; Viridiplantae; Streptophyta; Magnoliopsida; Poales; Poaceae. The record is from RNAcentral.